UAAUACGGAGGAUCCGAGCGUUAUCCGGAUUUAUUGGGUUUAAAGGGUGCGUAGGCUGUUCGGUAAGUUAGAGGUGAAAGGUCAACGCUUAACGUUGAGAUUGCCUCUGAUACUGCCGGGCUAGAGUUUAGUUGCUGUGGGCGGAAUGAGUAGUGUAGCGGUGAAAUGCUUAGAUAUUACUCAGAACACCGAUUGCGAAGGCAGCUCACAAAGCUAUAACUGACGCUGAGGCACGAAAGCGUGGGGAUCAAACAGGAUUAGAUACCCUGGUAGUCCACGCCGUAAACGAUGAUAACUCGUUGCAGGCGAUACACAGUCUGUGACUUAGCGAAAGCGUUAAGUUAUCCACCUGGGGAGUACGUUCGCAAGAAUG
This 373-nucleotide ribosomal RNA is filed under the name uncultured bacterium. RNAcentral describes it as "bacterial SSU rRNA". It matches the Rfam family "Bacterial small subunit ribosomal RNA", at positions 521 to 896 of the family's 1533-position model. The record is from RNAcentral.